UAUGACUCCUUCUCUUUUAGAACAUUAUAACUUGCAAAAAUCACCAAGAAACCACUCCCAUUUGUAACUGUUGGGACCCUGAAGCUUGCCCACUUGAUCAGGUGUGUAUGAUGAAUUCUGUCAUAUACAAAGC
Long non-coding RNA from Octopus sinensis (East Asian common octopus), 133 nucleotides. RefSeq lists it as uncharacterized. Lineage: Eukaryota; Metazoa; Mollusca; Cephalopoda; Octopoda; Octopodidae. The transcript has 4 exons. The record is from RefSeq and is a predicted model, not a curated record.